CACUUUGUCUGUAUGGCAAAUGUGAGAUGCAGUGUAUGGAAUGUCAAAUUUCUAGUAUGAGAAAUUAACGAUUUAAGUCCUUCUUAAAUGAGGCCAUUUACCCGUAGAGGGUGCCAGGCCCGUAUAACGUUAAUGAUUACUAGAUGGCAUUUCCAAAGAGUCGUGUUGCUUGAUAGUGCAGCACUAAGCUGGUGGUAAACUCCAUCUAAAACUAAAUAUAACCAUGAGACCGAUAGUAAACAAGUACCGUGAGGGAAAGUUGAAAAGAACUCUGAAUAGAGAGUUAAAUAGUACGUGAAACUGCUUAGAGGUUAAGCCCGAUGAACCUGAAUAUCCAAUUAUAGAAAAUUCAUCAUUAUGAUUAUAAUAUUUUAUAAUAUUAAAAUAAUGGUGUGCAUUUUUUCUAUAAAGGACAUUGUAAUCUAUUAACAUGAAAUUUAUCAUAAAAUCAAUAUGCGUAAGUUUAUUCGAAUUAUUUUGCUUGCAAUUUAACAUAGAAUAAAUGCUUUUGAUUUGAUAAAGUGUUGAUAGAUCUAUUAUAUAUAGUGCUUAAAUAUAUUAUAUUUUAUAAUAGCAUAAUUAUUAAUAAUUUUUAUGUUUAUUAUAUGCACUUAUAUGAUUAACAAUGCGAAAGAUUCAGGAUACCUUCGGGACCCGUCUUGAAACACGGACCAAGGAGUCUAACAUAUUUGCAAGUUAUUGGGAAUAAAAACCUAAUAGCGAAAUUAACAUAACUUUAAUUGGGAUUAGUUUUUAUUCUAUUUUUAUAUAGUUUAUUAAUUCAAUCCCGGGGCGUUCUAUAAGUUAUGUAUAAUAAUAUUUUAUAUUAUUUAUACCUCUAACUAGAGCGUACCUUGAGCAUAUAUGCUGUGACCCGAAAGAUGGUGAACUAUACUUGAUCAGGUUGAAGUCAGGGGAAACCCUGAUGGAAGACCGAAACAGUUCUGACGUGCAAAUCGAUUGUCAGAAUUGCAGUAUAG
This 980-nucleotide ribosomal RNA is filed under the name Ceracia dentata. RNAcentral's name for it is "eukaryotic LSU rRNA". It matches the Rfam family "Eukaryotic large subunit ribosomal RNA", at positions 120 to 920 of the family's 3401-position model. The record is from RNAcentral. Lineage: Eukaryota; Metazoa; Arthropoda; Insecta; Diptera; Tachinidae.